GACGAACGCUGGCGGCGUGCUUAACACAUGCAAGUCGAACGAAGAGCGAUGGAAGCUUGCUUCUAUCAAUCUUAGUGGCGAACGGGUGAGUAACGCGUAAUCAACCUGCCCUUCAGAGGGGGACAACAGUUGGAAACGACUGCUAAUACCGCAUACGAUCUAAUCUCGGCAUCGAGGAAAGAUGAAAGGUGGCCUCUAUUUAUAAGCUAUCACUGAAGGAGGGGAUUGCGUCUGAUUAGCUAGUUGGAGGGGUAACGGCCCACCAAGGCGAUGAUCAGUGGCCGGUCUGAGAGGAUGAACGGCCACAUUGGGACUGAGACACGGCCCAGACUCCUACGGGAGGCAGCAGUGGGGAAUCUUCCGCAAUGGACGAAAGUCUGACGGAGCAACGCCGCGUGAGUGAUGACGGCCUUCGGGUUGUAAAGCUCUGUUAAUCGGGACGAAAGGCCUUCUUGCGAACAGUUAGAAGGAUUGACGGUACCGGAAUAGAAAGCCACGGCUAACUACGUG
This 510-nucleotide ribosomal RNA is filed under the name uncultured bacterium. RNAcentral describes it as "partial 16S ribosomal RNA". It matches the Rfam family "Bacterial small subunit ribosomal RNA", at positions 28 to 507 of the family's 1533-position model. The record is from RNAcentral.